RNAcentral lists this ribosomal RNA (330 nucleotides) under uncultured bacterium. RNAcentral describes it as "bacterial SSU rRNA". It matches the Rfam family "Bacterial small subunit ribosomal RNA", at positions 568 to 898 of the family's 1533-position model. The record is from RNAcentral.
CGCGUAGGUGGUAGUGAAAGUCUAUGGUGGAAUCUUAGGGCUUAACCCUAAAACUGCCUUGGAAACUUCAUUACUUGAGUCAGUGAGGGGAGGGUAGAAUUCCUGGUGUAGCGGUGAAAUGCGUAGAUAUCAGGAGGAAGGCCGGUGGCGAAGGCGGCCCUCUGGCGCUGAACUGACGCUGAGGCGCGAAAACGUGGGUAGCAAACAGGAUUAGAUACCCUGGUAGUCCACGCCCUAAACGGUGGGUACUAGGUGUAGGGCUCGUAAGGGUUCUGUGCCGAAGGGAAACCAUUAAGUACCCCGCCUGGGGAGUACGGCCGCAAGGUUGAA